UUUGCCUACGGGACGCAGCAGUGGGGAAUAUUGCACAAUGGGGGAAACCCUGAUGCAGCGACGCCGCGUGAGUGAAGAAGUAUUUCGGUAUGUAAAGCUCUAUCAGCAGGAACGAGACAAGACGGUACCUGACUAAGAAGCCCCGGCUAACUACGUGCCAGCAGCCGCGGUAAUACGUAGGGGGCAAGCGUUAUCCGGAAUCACUGGGUGUAAAGGGUGCGCAGGCGGAACCAUAAGUCUGAAGUAAAAGCCAUCGGCUCAACCGAUGUAAGCUUUGGAAACUGUGGAUCUGGAGUGCAGGAGAG
RNAcentral lists this ribosomal RNA (305 nucleotides) under uncultured bacterium. RNAcentral describes it as "bacterial SSU rRNA". It matches the Rfam family "Bacterial small subunit ribosomal RNA", at positions 334 to 656 of the family's 1533-position model. The record is from RNAcentral.